Oncorhynchus tshawytscha (Chinook salmon) is the source of this 668-nucleotide long non-coding RNA. The record is from Ensembl. Lineage: Eukaryota; Metazoa; Chordata; Actinopteri; Salmoniformes; Salmonidae.
GAGGGUAGGUUAGGUAAGUAGUGGGUAGGUAGGUUAGGUAAGUAGUGGGCAGGCAGGUAAGGUAGGAGAGGUUAGGUAAGUAGUGGGUAGGUAGGAGAGGGUAGGUUAGGUAAGUAGUGGGUAGGCGGGUAGGUAGGAGAGGGUAGGUUAGGUAAGUAGUGGGUAGGCGGGCAGGUAAGGUAGGAGAGGUUAGGUAAGUAGUGGGCAGGCAGGUAAGGUAGGAGAGGUUAGGUAAGUAGUGAGUAGGCAGGUAAGGUAGGAGAGGAUAGGUAAGUAGUGAGUAAGCAGGUAAGGUAGGAGAGGUUAGGUAAGUAGUGGGUAGACAGGUAAGUAGUGGGUAGACAGGUUAGGAGAGGGUAGGUUAGGUAAGUAGUGGGCAGGCAGGUAAUGUAGGAGAGGGUAGGUUAGGUAAGAGAGGGUAGGUUAGGUAAGUAGUGGGCAGGCAGGUAAGGUAGGAGAGGUUAGACAGGUAAGUAGUGGGCAGGCAGGUAAGGUAGGAGAGGUUAGGUUAGGUAAGUAGUGGGCAGACAGGUAAGGUAGGAGAGGGUAGGUUAGGUAAGUAGUGGGCAGACAGGUAAGGUAGGAGAGGGUAGGUUAGGUAAGUAGUGGGCAGGCAGGUAAGGUAGGAGAGGGUAGGUUAGGUAAGUAGUGGGUAGACAGGUAAGGUA